RNAcentral lists this ribosomal RNA (468 nucleotides) under uncultured bacterium. RNAcentral's name for it is "partial 16S ribosomal RNA". It matches the Rfam family "Bacterial small subunit ribosomal RNA", at positions 28 to 507 of the family's 1533-position model. The record is from RNAcentral.
GACGAACGCUGGCGGCGUGCUUAACACAUGCGAGUCGAACGGAAAGGCCCUGCUUUUGUGGGGUGCUCGAGUGGCGAACGGGUGAGUAACACGUGAGUAACCUGCCCUUGACUUUGGGAUAACUUCAGGAAACUGGGGCUAAUACCGGAUAGGAGCUCCUGCUGCAUGGUGGGGGUUGGAAAGUUUCGGCGGUUGGGGAUGGACUCGCGGCUUAUCAGCUUGUUGGUGGGGUAGUGGCUUACCAAGGCUUUGACGGGUAGCCGGCCUGAGAGGGUGACCGGCCAAAGUGGGACUGAGAUACGGCCCAGACUCCUACGGGAGGCAGCAGUGGGGAAUAUUGCACAAUGGGCGGAAGCCUGAUGCAGCAACGCCGCGUGCGGGAUGACGGCCUUCGGGUUGUAAACCGCUUUCGCCUGUGACGAAGCGUGAGUGACGGUAAUGGGUAAAGAAGCACCGGCUAACUACGUG